CAUAACUAACUCAUAAACAGCUCCUGACCAUAGGAUCAUCACGAGGAUGGUGAUCGAUCCAGAAGGUUGGUGUACGAUCGCUUCCUUAGGAUAGAUGUGUCUUGAGUCUACAGUGUGGAGACACUGGAGUGAGAGUACAGGUAUUCAUUGAGAAUGAGAGUACUGAGUGUGACCACCUCGAGCAGUCAUAAGGAAGUCUACCUUCUCAUCGAUGACUAGCUCGAUGCUGCAGCUGUGUCUAGUUCUUUGACCUGAGGUACAUCGAUAGUUCACCUUGAGUGUGUUAUAGUUUGACUAUACUAUACUCAAUCUCCUAGCCAUUCAGAAUCCUGAGGUGUAUGUUGGCUGUAGCAUAUUCAUUGUAGGAACCAAAUCGCACCAAGAAGGGAUCUAUCAACCUCGGUAGAUGAGAGGAGUAGUCCUAUGAUGAUCGAAAGAUCGAGUCCUUAAGCCCAUGGCCAUGGCAAAGUGAAAUAAUGGAAAAGAGUUUUUCAUUGGGGUUUCACAUCGGACUC
Molecule: long non-coding RNA, 515 nt
Filed under: Elaeis guineensis (African oil palm)
Lineage: Eukaryota; Viridiplantae; Streptophyta; Magnoliopsida; Arecales; Arecaceae
Description: long non-coding RNA (EGUI_LNC071659)
Source: RNAcentral